UCCCUGGUGGCUCAGAGGUUAAAGCGUCUGCCCACAAUGCGGGAGACCUGGGUUCAAUCCCUGGGUCAGGGAA
Molecule: non-coding RNA, 73 nt
Organism: Ovis aries (sheep)
Lineage: Eukaryota; Metazoa; Chordata; Mammalia; Artiodactyla; Bovidae
Source: Rfam